AACGAACGCUGGCGGCGUGCCUAACACAUGCAAGUCGUGCGAGAAAGUUCCUUCGGGAGCGAGUAAAGCGGCGCACGGGUGAGUAACACGUAGGUAACCUGCCCCCCAGUCUGGAACAACUAGAGGAAACUCUAGCUAAUGCCGGAUGAGACCACGAUCCCUUCGGGGGUUGCGGCCAAAGAUGGCCUCUACUUGUAAGCUAUCGCUGAGGGAUGGGCCUGCGGGCCAUUAGCUUGUUGGUGAGGUAACGGCUCACCAAGGCUGUGAUGGCUAGCUGGUCUGAGAGGAUGACCAGCCACACUGGGACUGAGACACGGCCCAGACUCCUACGGGAGGCAGGCAGUAAGGAAUAUUGCGCAAUGGACGAAAGUCUGACGCAGCGACGCCGCGU
This 391-nucleotide ribosomal RNA is filed under the name uncultured bacterium. RNAcentral describes it as "bacterial SSU rRNA". It matches the Rfam family "Bacterial small subunit ribosomal RNA", at positions 29 to 402 of the family's 1533-position model. The record is from RNAcentral.